AACGAACGCUGGCGGCAUGCCUAACACAUGCAAGUCGAACGAGACCUUCGGGUCUAGUGGCGCACGGGUGCGUAACGCGUGGGAAUCUGCCCUUGGGUUCGGAAUAACAGUUGGAAACGACUGCUAAUACCGGAUGAUGACGUAAGUCCAAAGAUUUAUCGCCCAAGGAUGAGCCCGCGUAGGAUUAGCUAGUUGGUGAGGUAAAGGCUCACCAAGGCGACGAUCCUUAGCUGGUCUGAGAGGAUGAUCAGCCACACUGGGACUGAGACACGGCCCAGACUCCUACGGGAGGCAGCAGUGGGGAAUAUUGGACAAUGGGCGAAAGCCUGAUCCAGCAAUGCCGCGUGAGUGAUGAAGGCCUUGGGUUGUAAAGCUCUUUUACCCGGGAUGAUAAUGACAGUACCGGGAGAAUAAGCUCCGGCUAACUCCGUG
RNAcentral lists this ribosomal RNA (432 nucleotides) under uncultured bacterium. Its description in RNAcentral is "partial 16S ribosomal RNA". It matches the Rfam family "Bacterial small subunit ribosomal RNA", at positions 29 to 507 of the family's 1533-position model. The record is from RNAcentral.